CUGGGGACGUCUAAAGGAACUGCCUACGCAAGUAGUGAGGAAGCGGGGAUGACGUCAAAUCAGCACGGCCCUUACGUCCAGGGCUACACACGUGCUACAAUGGCCGAUACAGAGGGCAGCUACCUGGUGACAGGAUGCAAAUCUCCAAAGUCGGUCUCAGCUCGGAUCGGAGUCUGCAACCCGACUCCGUGAAGUUGGAUUCGCUAGUAAUCGCGCAUCAGCCAUGGCGCGGUGAAUACGUUCCCGGGCCUU
Molecule: ribosomal RNA, 252 nt
Filed under: uncultured Sphingobacteriales bacterium
Lineage: Bacteria; Pseudomonadati; Bacteroidota; Sphingobacteriia; Sphingobacteriales
Description: partial 16S ribosomal RNA
Rfam family: Bacterial small subunit ribosomal RNA
Source: RNAcentral